AUGUGCCGAGGCAAAAGGGUGGAUGGAAAGAUUAUGUCCCAAGACCACAGCCAACUCACGUCCAAGUUCAUCGCUUACAGGCUCUCCAACUCAAUAUCCACACUUCCAACAAUGAGCGUCCAACAUGUCGUUGACCUUGUGAAAGCCAUCUUUCAUUACAAGGUGAAGUACGGCAAGGCAUGGAAGGAAAAGCAAGCCGCAUUUAAGAUGUUGUAUGGUACUUGGAAGGAAGCAUACAACCGAAUCCCUAGGUUGUUGUUAGCCAUGGCCGCCACAAACCCGGGCAUGGUUCAUGUUGUCGAGCCUCAUGGGCACCAAACAACGGUUUAUGAAGGAAAGAAAGUCCGAGUAUUUGGCCGUGCAUUUUGGGCGUUCGAGCAAUGCGUGAAGGCUUUCGAACACUGUAGGCCGGUCAUCGCCAUUGAUGGCACGUUCUUGACCGGACAAUACAAGGGGACCUUGUUGGUUGCGAUAGCAAGUGAUGCCAAUAACCGGGUGUUGCCAUUGGCAUUUGCUUUGGUUGAGGCGGAGAACAAUGACAACUGGGAGUGGUUUUUGCGUCUUUUGAGGACGAAGGUGUUACCCGAUCAAAGGGAAAUUUGUGUCAUAUCGGAUCGGCAUGCAGGAAUUCUUAACACGGUGGAGAUUGACAUUCCCGGGCAUGCUCCGUUAAACUAUGAUCUUCGUUUUGGUUGUGAACUACUAUGUGUCAUGAACUACCAUCUCUCCUCCUUGAUUUGGUUGUGA
This 747-nucleotide ribosomal RNA is filed under the name Triticum aestivum (bread wheat). RNAcentral describes it as "partial small subunit ribosomal RNA". Lineage: Eukaryota; Viridiplantae; Streptophyta; Magnoliopsida; Poales; Poaceae. The record is from RNAcentral.